GGCUGGACCAUGGACUGUUUCCAGGAGUGGGGGUCCUUCAUCCAGCUGGCCAUCCCCAGCAUGUUCAUGGUGUGCAUUGAGUGGUGGACCUUUGAGGUUGGAACCUUCCUUGCAGGACUGAUAAGCGUGACAGAGCUUGGCGCCCAGGCCGUGGUUUAUGAACUGGUUACUGCAGCCUACACGGUGCCCCUUGGCUUUGGCGUGGCAGCCAGCGUCCGGGUGGGCAACGCGCUCGGGGCAGGGAAUCCUGAGCAGGCGAGGCACUCUGGUGUCACCGUCCUGCUGUGUGCAGGUGAGUGUGGCGUUUCUGCCCGCUGGCUUCCGUCCUGAGUAUCAUGCAGCUGUAAGUGUGUCUAGAUGA
This 361-nucleotide long non-coding RNA is filed under the name Sus scrofa (pig). RNAcentral's name for it is "lncRNA (ENSSSCG00060077769.1)". The record is from RNAcentral. Lineage: Eukaryota; Metazoa; Chordata; Mammalia; Artiodactyla; Suidae.